UGCAUCUGCAGCCCAUGAGGAUGAGAACCUCCGGGGGCAGGGAGGUUCGACUCGAGCGAAGCGAGAGAACGUUGCGCCAGCAACG
RNAcentral lists this small RNA (85 nucleotides) under Escherichia coli. RNAcentral describes it as "partial RtT sRNA". It matches the Rfam family "RtT RNA", at positions 1 to 81 of the family's 130-position model. From Rfam's summary of the family: This family represents a bacterial cis-regulatory element known as RtT RNA. The exact function of RtT is unknown although it is thought that it may be involved in changing the cellular response in relation to amino acid starvation. The record is from RNAcentral. Lineage: Bacteria; Pseudomonadati; Pseudomonadota; Gammaproteobacteria; Enterobacterales; Enterobacteriaceae.